This is a non-coding RNA of Paramisgurnus dabryanus, 273 nucleotides long. The record is from RefSeq and is a predicted model, not a curated record. Lineage: Eukaryota; Metazoa; Chordata; Actinopteri; Cypriniformes; Cobitidae.
ACAGCGAUUACAAUGUCAGUGGAAAUUAACGAAAUCUUUGAUACCAGUCUCACCAACCGUGCAGAUGACAAUUACAAAACUAAAGCUCAACAAAUUGAGUCCACGAUUAACAAGGGUUUCAAAUCUCUGUCUAACUAUGUAAACGGUUCUGCAAAAGUCACUGGCUUCAGGUCUGGUAGUAUUAUAGCAGACUACACUAUUAAUUCAAUAUCCAACACCCCUGAUUUUACAUCAGCAAACAUAAACGUUUCGGGCAUCCCUUUAGUUCAGAAU